GGAGCACCCUUCGGGGUGUGACUGCGUACCUUUUGUAUAAUGGGUCAGCGACUUAUAUUCUGUAGCAAGGUUAACCGUAUAGGGGAGCCGGAGGGAAACCGAGUCUUAAUUGGGCGUUAAGUUGCAGGGUAUAGACCCGAAACCCGGUGAUCUAGCCAUGGGCAGGUUGAAGGUUGGGUAACACUAACUGGAGGACCGAACCGACUAAUGUUGAAAAAUUAGCGGAUGACCUGUGGCUGGGGGUGAAAGGCCAAUCAAACCGGGAGAUAGCUGGUUCUCCCCGAAAGCUAUUUAGGUAGCGCCUCGUGAAUUCAUCUCCGGGGGUAGAGCACUGUUUCGGCUAGGGGCCAUCCCGGCUUACCAACCCGAUGCAAACUGCGAAUACCGGAGAAUGUUAUCACGGGAGACACACGGCGGGUGCUAACGUCCGUCGUGAAGAGGGAAACAACCCAGACCGCCAGCUAAGGUCCCAAAGUCAUGGUUAAGUGGGAAACGAUGUGGGAAGGCCCAGACAGCCAGGAUGUUGGCUUAGAAGCAGCCAUCAUUUAAAGAAAGCGUAAUAGCUCACUGGUCGAGUCGGCCUGCGCGGAAGAUGUAACGGGGCUAAACCAUGCACCGAAGCUGCGGCAGCGAACGUAUCACCCAAGACAACUUUACGGAGUUGACGAUUGACGGAGCGAAGCGACGUCAAAGCGUUCAUUAAAGUCGAGUUGGCUUAGGGAUACGUUCGUUGGGUAGGGGAGCGUUCUGUAAGCCUGUGAAGGUGUGUCGUGAGGCAUGCUGGAGGUAUCAGAAGUGCGAAUGCUGACAUAAGUAACGAUAAAGCGGGUGAAAAGCCCGCUCGCCGGAAGACCAAGGGUUCCUGUCCAACGUUAAUCGGGGCAGGGUGAGUCGACCCCUAAGGCGAGGCCGAAAGGCGUAGUCGAUGGGAAACGGGUUAAUAUUCCCGUACUUGGUGUUACUGCGAAGGGGGGACGGAGAAGGCUAU
Molecule: ribosomal RNA, 988 nt
Filed under: Salmonella enterica subsp. enterica serovar Typhimurium
Lineage: Bacteria; Pseudomonadati; Pseudomonadota; Gammaproteobacteria; Enterobacterales; Enterobacteriaceae
Description: partial 23S ribosomal RNA
Rfam family: Bacterial large subunit ribosomal RNA
Source: RNAcentral